This is a long non-coding RNA of Capsicum annuum, 1137 nucleotides long. RefSeq lists it as uncharacterized. The record is from RefSeq and is a predicted model, not a curated record. The transcript is spliced from 2 exons. Lineage: Eukaryota; Viridiplantae; Streptophyta; Magnoliopsida; Solanales; Solanaceae.
GUAUUGGAUUGAGCGAUAGACUUUGAUAUUUGACUUUCUCUGUAAUUUUACGGGACGAUCGUUGAUGGGGUAUUGACUAUAUUAAACCCCUUUUUGGUGUAGUUUAAGGUAAUUUGAAUUUUCGAGAACAUAUUUUGAUUUACUAGAAGGUGGUGCUUGAAUUGUGCAUUCGAGGUAAGUGAGACUUUAAGCUUUGAUGCUUGCUUUUCAAAUCUGAUUUAUAAAAAUUAUAUUUUUCUACCUAGUCCAUGUGUUGGGACAAGCGUGAACUUGGUAGAAUUUGUGGCUUUUGACUAGCUAUGGAUAUGUAUUUUGAAAAAUGUGUUGAUAAUUGUUUAGAGUGAAACGUGAGGUGAGGGUUGGACGUUGAAUAUAUUUUCUUCACUGCUGUUAUAGUCUCUAGGGGCAUACAUAGCUGCCGUAAUAUGUUAGGGGCAUUACUUAUGCUGCCGUAAUAUGUUAGGGGCAUUAUUUAUGCUGCUUUAAUAUGUUUGGGGCAUUACCUAUGCUGUCGUAAUAUAUUAGGGGCUUGUACAUGCUGUCGUAGUGGACUUUUCGUGGCAUUAUAUAUGUUGCCGUGGACUUGUCGGGGUUUUAGGCCGAUCACCUUCACUGCCGUUUAUAACAAGUCGUGAGUGUGGAUUGAGUUGUUAUAGGAUGACAUUUUGAACCACUUUGAAAAUCUUAUUGAUAUUAUUUUAUGAAAGAUAUUAUGUACAUAUUAUUUGUGUAUCUUUGUUGUGCUUUGUAUUUUUUAACACUUGUUCCAGAGGUAUUAAAUUAGCGAGUCGAGGAUCUUACUGGUUUAUAUAUUUAUAUAUAGAUCACUCCUUACUUGCAUACGUGCAGAUACGGUUGCAGAGAGAGAGGCUCGAGGCUGAUUGUUUUUACAUGAGGAUUCUAUCGCUAAGGUGUAUUUCACUUCAUACUUUCAAAUGACAGAUUACAUCAACAAUAUAUACACAAAGUUAGACACAAAAGGUCAAGAGUAGAUCCUAAAAUCAUACCUUCUACCUAAAAUAAUUGACUAUCCAUUAGAUAUAUUUUUGACAUUUACAACUUCUAGAUGUAUCUUUGACAUUUACUACUUCUACAUAUAUCUUGACACUAAUAAAAUCAUAUGUAAUUUUUAUUUUU